Molecule: ribosomal RNA, 638 nt
Filed under: uncultured bacterium
Lineage: Bacteria
Description: bacterial SSU rRNA
Rfam family: Bacterial small subunit ribosomal RNA
Source: RNAcentral
UGACUGCUAUUAAAGUGGCUAAGGCCAUGAACAUGGAUGGACCUGCGGUGCAUUAGCUAGUUGGUGAGGUAACGGCCCACCAAGGCGACGAUGCAUAGCCGGCCUGAGAGGGCGGACGGCCACAUUGGGACUGAGACACGGCCCAAACUCCUACGGGAGGCAGCAGUAGGGAAUUUUCGUCAAUGGGGGGAACCCUGAACGAGCAAUGCCGCGUGAGUGAGGAAGGUCUUCGGAUCGUAAAGCUCUGUUGUAAGAGAAAAACGACAUUCAUAGGGAAUGAUGAGUGAGUGAUGGUAUCUUACCAGAAAGUCACGGCUAACUACGUGCCAGCAGCCGCGGUAAUACGUAGGUGGCGAGCGUUAUCCGGAAUGAUUGGGCGUAAAGGGUGCGUAGGUGGCAGAACAAGUCUGGAGUAAAAGGUAUGGGCUCAACCCGUACUGGCUCUGGAAACUGUUCAGCUAGAGAACAGAAGAGGACGGCGGAACUCCAUGUGUAGCGGUAAAAUGCGUAGAUAUAUGGAAGAACACCGGUGGCGAAGGCGGCCGUCUGGUCUGUUGCUGACACUGAAGCACGAAAGCGUGGGGAGCAAAUAGGAUUAGAUACCCUAGUAGUCCACGCCGUAAACGAUGAGAACUAGG